GUUCCUGUAGUUGAAUAACAACGGUGGUUUUUCGAGUCAUUAGUUCUGGUUAAAGUCCUGACGGGAAUU
RNAcentral lists this transfer RNA (69 nucleotides) under Datnioides polota (four-banded tigerfish). RNAcentral's name for it is "tRNA-Glu". It matches the Rfam family "tRNA". From Rfam's summary of the family: Transfer RNA (tRNA) molecules are approximately 80 nucleotides in length. Their secondary structure includes four short double-helical elements and three loops (D, anti-codon, and T loops). The record is from RNAcentral. Lineage: Eukaryota; Metazoa; Chordata; Actinopteri; Lobotiformes; Datnioididae. RNAcentral also lists the same sequence under 3 other names.